RNAcentral lists this ribosomal RNA (489 nucleotides) under uncultured bacterium. RNAcentral's name for it is "bacterial SSU rRNA". It matches the Rfam family "Bacterial small subunit ribosomal RNA", at positions 501 to 989 of the family's 1533-position model. The record is from RNAcentral.
CUACGUGCCAGCAGCCGCGGUAAUACGUAGGGUGCGAGCGUUAAUCGGAAUUACUGGGCGUAAAGCGGGCGCAGACGGUUACUUAAGCAGGAUGUGAAAUCCCCGGGCUCAACCUGGGAACUGCGUUCUGAACUGGGUGACUAGAGUGUGUCAGAGGGAGGUAGAAUUCCACGUGUAGCAGUGAAAUGCGUAGAGAUGUGGAGGAAUACCGAUGGCGAAGGCAGCCUCCUGGGAUAACACUGACGUUCAUGCCCGAAAGCGUGGGUAGCAAACAGGAUUAGAUACCCUGGUAGUCCACGCCCUAAACGAUGUCGAUUAGCUGUUGGGCAGCAUGACUGCUUAGUAGCGAAGCUAACGCGUGAAAUCGACCGCCUGGGGAGUACGGUCGCAAGAUUAAAACUCAAAUGAAUUGACGGGGGCCCGCACAAGCGGUGGAGCAUGUGGUUUAAUUCGAUGCAACGCGAAGAACCUUACCUGGUCUUGACAUCC